CUGAAGGUGGUGGGAUGUACAGCCUUGGCUAUAGACUAAAUAUCAGAAACAUGUAAAGAAAACAUUUUUUUUGUAAUAAUGUAUUUUCCAUGACAUUUCAACAUUAUCUAUAUUGUUGGCCAGCAUAUUCAAGUUA
Long non-coding RNA from Olea europaea var. sylvestris, 136 nucleotides. RefSeq lists it as uncharacterized. The record is from RefSeq and is a predicted model, not a curated record. The transcript has 3 exons. Lineage: Eukaryota; Viridiplantae; Streptophyta; Magnoliopsida; Lamiales; Oleaceae.